CUUCGAGCACCUCUACCCCCGGAAGUUGAUUUCCGCCAAGGCCCGCCCCGCGAUGCGCCUGUCACUCAACGCGAACAUGCGCGUCACGUGGUCCCAGGCUGAGGGCCCCAUCCUCGGCGCCGGCCACUGCGGCUUGGGUGGUCCACGGAAGGCUGCUCUCUGAUGUCUCAGGUGCCACCGCCUGUUAGUUGCAGCUCUUCAUUCCUCUUGAAUGACAGGCCCUGUUUCAAUGCCUAAUCCAUGCAAAUAAAACCAUCCCCAAAAUGACACUCCCAGCUGGGACUCUAUAAGGAUUGUUCUUGAGAAGAGCCCCACGUAAUCUCUUCACCACCUGGAAGCAGAGUUCAAUAAAUACUGGAACCGAGCUAAGUGCCUGACAUGUAGUAAGUGCUCAAGAAACAGUUGACAACUGCUCCAUCUCCCAACUUGGCAUAUCUGAACUCUCAAGCACCCGGAUGCACCUAAGCCCGGAGCCUCUCCAGACCACUACUAUUUGACUUCAGUCAAAGAACUCUGCUCUAGAAUUACUUUUGUUCUUGUCAACUCCAGAUCACAGCAGUUUAUACAUGCCAUCUGUUUGAGUGACAGUUUAUUUUCAGCUGCCAGGCCAUCCCCUUUUUUCGAAGCCUUCAGUCAAAUAGUUUCUCCUGAAGAAAAAGAAAAGAGAAUGACAUAACUGACAGUUUUAUUUGAAAGGAAACAUGGUUAUAUAGAUUUUUUGUGUGUAUUUCAAACUGUCAAUAGGUGUAAAAGGGAAACAGUCAACUAUCAGGCCACUUGCUAAAAAUUCUUCAAUUUUUGACAUGGGACAGAUUUGGAGAACAUUUAUGUAACAAUUUUUUAUUGAGUGUCUACUUGUGCUACUGGGCCAAGUUGUGACAAUCCAAGAGUGGACAAGAUACAUUCAAGAUUUUUGCUUUCAAGGAGUUUGCAGUCUAAUGAGAAAGACAGUCAAGUAACCUGGGAACUUGGAGCAUAAGUCUCUGGAAUAUUCGCCUUCAUUGUAUCACAGGCAUUCUUUAACAUUUUGGGCGACAUUAUUUUUCUCAUCUUUCUGUUCGACAAAAUUGGCUAAAGCCUAUAAUGAUCUCUGCUCUGUACUUGAGGUGGAAAAUGUCAGCCGGGAAUCUGAACAAUCAAUUCUCCAAUAAGUGUAGGCUCCAGUGGUUAGUGAGCAGUUUCGAUAUUGAGCACAAAUAUCACCUCUUCUACACCCUUUUUUCCCAUCCACCAUCUUUGUGUGCACAGCAAACAGAUUUCUGUUGUAGGAAAUGUGAUGCUUUCUUACACGUAUUUGUUUACCUAUCUCCUAGACCACCAAGUCAAGGACCACUUAUUUGUAUAUCUGGCAAUGUACUUCCCAAUACUCGGCAAUCUGGCAUGGUGUCUACUGAUCAGAAAAAAGGCCAUCACCCUAAUGGAUUGUGACCUUCUGAGAUGAGAAACAUGGUUCUUGCCCUCAAGAGGAUCAAGUUUGAAGAAAGAUAAGACAGUCAAAUCAAAUAGAGUGAUAAUAAGCACUAAAAUCAAGUUUGUUGUUAAAAUGUGGAGGAGAAGCACCUCACUCAACCUGCAUUAAACAAGUACUUCUCAGAAAAUGUAAAGCUCAAGAAGAGUCUUGAAGAAUCAGCAGGAAUCGGCCAAGCUAAAAAGAGACAAAAGUGUGCUCCAGACAGAAGAACAUGCACCUGUGCAUGUCUUUCCUCACCUGUGAACUGUGGAGGAGACAUGAUACUCAAAAAGAUACUGCUAAGGCUGAUGUCGAAGAGUGUACUGCCUAUGUUUUCUUCUAGGAGUUUUAUGGUUUCAGGUCUUAUAUUCAAGUCUUUAAUCCAUUUUAAGUUAAUUCUUGUGUAUAGUGUAAGCUAAUGGUCUACUUUCAUUCUUUUGCAUGUGGCUGUCUUGUUUUCCAAACACCAUUUAUUAAAGAGACUUUGCUUUCUCCAUUGUAUGCCCUUGACUCCUUUGUUGAAAAUUAGCUGUCCAUAGAUGUGUGAGUUUAUUUCUGGGUUCUCGAUUCAGUUCCAUUGAUCUGUGUGUCUGUUUUCAUGCCAGUACCAUGCUGUUUUGAUUACUAUAACUUUGUAGUAUAUUUUGAAAUCAGGAAGUGUGACACCUCUUUCACUUUUUUGC
Long non-coding RNA from Diceros bicornis minor, 2133 nucleotides. RefSeq lists it as uncharacterized. Lineage: Eukaryota; Metazoa; Chordata; Mammalia; Perissodactyla; Rhinocerotidae. The record is from RefSeq and is a predicted model, not a curated record. The transcript is spliced from 3 exons.